UAUCGGAUGGUGCAGUAUUCUAGUCGGUCUACCGGUUCUGAAGGUGAGCCUAAAAAUUCACUAAAGGGCACAUCGAUGAAGUUCCUUGUUUCGGCUUGAGGAGCCUAGCCUUGGGUUGGAGCUGGGAGUAAAGGUAUAAGGGCGAUCCGCAAAGGCAUGUGGGCGUAGCCCCUUUUACCGUGGAGGCUUCGCUAUGUUCGGCUAGCUUAAAUGCAUUGCGCGAAAGUGAAGUAUAGACCUGCAACGUGAUGAAGGGCAUCACUAGCAGCGUAGCCUGCCUUGAGUGAAGCUUGAGGGGAUUAUGGUUAUAAGAAAACAGUUCGGUUGGCCAUCGUGCUGAUUUCUUCAGUCCAUAUGAAAUCAGUUUUGCAAAAGAGGCUAGGAACUAGGUUAAAGGCUGUUGAGGAAAUCUCCUAGACUGUUCCAAGGGACAUAUGAAGGGGAUUAGAGUACGGACUAAGUGGCAAUCCAGUCUGGCAUUUGGUGACAAUGCCAAGAUGGGUUUAAAGGGAAACCGCCGUUAUGGCGACAUGCGGUACCUAUCUGGGAAAACCUACUGGACCUAAGCCGUAAUUUUUACUCUUCUUAUGACCAUCCAAGC
RNAcentral lists this small RNA (601 nucleotides) under uncultured Siminovitchia sp. The record is from RNAcentral. Lineage: Bacteria; Bacillati; Bacillota; Bacilli; Caryophanales; Bacillaceae.